Molecule: ribosomal RNA, 497 nt
Filed under: uncultured bacterium
Lineage: Bacteria
Description: partial 16S ribosomal RNA
Rfam family: Bacterial small subunit ribosomal RNA
Source: RNAcentral
GAUGAACGCUGGCGGCGUGCCUAAUACAUGCAAGUCGAGCGAACAGACGAGGAGCUUGCUCCUCUGACGUUAGCGGCGGACGGGUGAGUAACACGUGGAUAACCUACCUAUAAGACUGGGAUAACUUCGGGAAACCGGAGCUAAUACCGGAUAAUAUAUUGAACCGCAUGGUUCAAUAGUGAAAGACGGUUUUGCUGUCACUUAUAGAUGGAUCCGCGCCGCAUUAGCUAGUUGGUAAGGUAACGGCUUACCAAGGCAACGAUGCGUAGCCGACCUGAGAGGGUGAUCGGCCACACUGGAACUGAGACACGGUCCAGACUCCUACGGGAGGCAGCAGUAGGGAAUAUUCCGCAAUGGGCGAAAGCCUGACGGAGCAACGCCGCGUGAGUGAUGAAGGUCUUCGGGUCGUAAAACUCUGUUAUUAGGGAAGAAAAAAUGUGUGAGUAACUAUGCACGUCUUGACGGUACCUAAUCAGAAAGCCACGGCUAACUACGUG